Molecule: ribosomal RNA, 401 nt
Filed under: uncultured bacterium
Lineage: Bacteria
Description: bacterial SSU rRNA
Rfam family: Bacterial small subunit ribosomal RNA
Source: RNAcentral
UAGGGAAUAUUAGAAAUGGACGAAAGUCUGAUCUAGCAACACCGCGUGUGCGAUGAAAGCCUUCGGGUUGUAAAGCACUUUUUGGAAGGAUUAGGAAGGAAUGUACUUCCAGAAUAAGUCUCGGCUAACUACGUGCCAGCAGCCGCGGUAACACGUAGGAGGCGAACGUUAUCCGGAUUUACUGGGCGUAAAGCGCGUGUAGGUGGUUCUGUAAGUAGGGCGUGAAAGCUCCUGGCUCAACUGGGAGAGGCCGUUCUAAACUGCAGAGCUAGAGGAUGGUAGAGGGAGGUGGAAUUCCGGGUGUAGCGGUGGAAUGCGCAGAUAUCCGGAGGAACACCAGUGGCGAAGGCGGCCUCCUGGACCAUUCCUGACACUCAGACGCGAAAGCUAGGGUAGCAAAC